CAGUCGCCACGGGAAUACGAAGGGUGCAAGUGUUAAUCGGAAUUACUGGGCGUAAAGCGUGCGUAGGCGGUGAGUUAAGUCUGCUGUGAAAUCCCCGGGCUCAACCUGGGAAUGGCAGUGGAUACUGGCUCGCUAGAGUGUGUCAGAGGAUGGUGGAAUUCCCGGUGUAGCGGUGAAAUGCGUAGAGAUCGGGAGGAACAUCAGUGGCGAAGGCGGCCAUCUGGGACAACACUGACGCUGAGGCACGAAAGCGUGGGGAGCAAACAGGAUUAGAUACCCCCGUAGUCCCUGUCUCUUAUAC
RNAcentral lists this ribosomal RNA (301 nucleotides) under uncultured bacterium. Its description in RNAcentral is "partial 16S ribosomal RNA". It matches the Rfam family "Bacterial small subunit ribosomal RNA", at positions 509 to 807 of the family's 1533-position model. The record is from RNAcentral.